AGUUUGAUCCUGGCUCAGAAUGAACGUUGGCGGCGUGGAUUAGGCAUGCAAGUCGAACGAAUCCCUUGUAGCAAUAUGAGGGGGAAGUGGCGAAAGGGGCAGUAAUGUAUGGGUAACGUACCCGGGGGUCGUGGAUAGCCGUCCUAACGGACGGGUAAUACACGGCGAUUCGGCGGGAGGACAUCCUCUUGUCGGGAAAGAAUUUCGCCUCCGGAGCGGCUCAUAUCGUAUUAGCUAGUUGGUGAGGUAACGGCUCACCAAGGCGAAGAUGCGUAGCGGGUGUGAGAGCACGACCCGCGCCACUGGCACUGAGACACUGGCCAGACACCUACGGGUGGCUGCAGUCGAGGAUCUUCGGCAAUGGGCGCAAGCCUGACCGAGCGACGCCGCGUGGACGAUGAAGGCCUUCGGGUUGUAAAGUCCUGUCGAGGGGGAUCAAGGGCAACUUGAGUGAUCCCUGGAGGAAGCACGGGCUAAGUUCGUGCCAGCAGCCGCGGUAAGACGAACCGUGCAAACGUUAUUCGGAAUCACUGGGCAUAAAGGGCGCGUAGGCGGCUUCAUAAGUCAGGGGUGAAAUCCGGCAGCUUAACUGUCGCAGUGCCUUUGAUACUGUGGAGCUCGAGGGAGG
This 628-nucleotide ribosomal RNA is filed under the name uncultured Planctomycetota bacterium. RNAcentral describes it as "bacterial SSU rRNA". It matches the Rfam family "Bacterial small subunit ribosomal RNA", at positions 10 to 651 of the family's 1533-position model. Lineage: Bacteria; Pseudomonadati; Planctomycetota. The record is from RNAcentral.